RNAcentral lists this long non-coding RNA (220 nucleotides) under Mytilus galloprovincialis (Mediterranean mussel). The record is from RNAcentral. Lineage: Eukaryota; Metazoa; Mollusca; Bivalvia; Mytilida; Mytilidae.
GCCCCGCCACAUUAUUUAUGUAUGUGCCUGUCCCAAGUCAGGAGCCUGUAAUUCAGUGGUUGUCGUUUGUUUAUGUGUUACAUAUUUGUUUUUCGUUCAUUUUUUUACAUAAAUAAGGCCGUUAGUUUUCUCGUUUGAAUUGUUUUACAUUGUCUUAUCGGGGCCUUUUAUAGCUGACUAUGCGGUAUUGGCUUUGCUCAUUGUUGAAGGCCGUACGGUG